RNAcentral lists this ribosomal RNA (440 nucleotides) under uncultured bacterium. Its description in RNAcentral is "partial 16S ribosomal RNA". It matches the Rfam family "Bacterial small subunit ribosomal RNA", at positions 338 to 795 of the family's 1533-position model. The record is from RNAcentral.
CCUACGGGAGGCAGCAGUGGGGGAUAUUGCACAAUGGGGGAAACCCUGAUGCAGCGACGCCGCGUGAGUGAAGAAGUAUUUCGGUAUGUAAAGCUCUAUCAGCAGGGAAGAAAAUGACAGUACCUGACCAUGAAGCCCCGGCUAACUACGUGCCAGCAGCCGCGGUAAUACGUAGGGGGCAAGCGUUAUCCGGAUUUACUGGGUGUAAAGGGAGCGUAGACGGUUAUGUAAGUCUGGAGUGAAAGCCCGGGGCCCAACCCCGGGACUGCUUUGGAGACUGUGUGACUGGAGUGCAGGAGGGGCAGGCGGAAUUCCUGGUGUAGCGGUGAAAUGCGUAGAUAUCAGGAGGAACACCGGCGGCGAAGGCGGCCUGCUGGACUGAAACUGACGUUGAGGCUCGAAAGCGUGGGGAGCAAACAGGAUUAGAUACCCGUGUAGUC